UACGUAGGGGGCAAGCGUUAUCCGGAUUUACUGGGUGUAAAGGGAGCGUAGGCGGUCUGGCAAGUCUGAUAUGAAACUCCGGGGCUCAACCCCGUAACUGCAUUGGAAACUGUCAGGCUAGAGUGCAGGAGAGGAAAGUGGAAUUCCUAGUGUAGCGGUGAAAUGCGUAGAUAUUAGGAAGAACACCAGUGGCGAAGGCGGCUUUCUGAACUGUAACUGACGCUGAGGCUCGAAAGCGUGGGGAGCAAAC
This 250-nucleotide ribosomal RNA is filed under the name uncultured prokaryote. RNAcentral describes it as "partial 16S ribosomal RNA". It matches the Rfam family "Bacterial small subunit ribosomal RNA", at positions 524 to 773 of the family's 1533-position model. The record is from RNAcentral.